Molecule: ribosomal RNA, 251 nt
Filed under: uncultured bacterium
Lineage: Bacteria
Description: partial 16S ribosomal RNA
Rfam family: Bacterial small subunit ribosomal RNA
Source: RNAcentral
GCAAGUCGAGGGAGAAGUUUGGUGCUUGCACUGGAUGGGAACCGGCGAACGGGUGCGUAACACGUAUGCAACCUACCUAUAACUGGGGGAUAGCCCGAAGAAAUUCGGAUUAAUACCCUAUAAUAUUUACUUACCACAUGGUAGGAAUCUUAAAACUCCGGUGGUUAUAGAUGGGCAUGCGGCCUAUUAGUUAGUUGGUGAGGUAACGGCUCACCUAGACUACGAUAGGUAGGGGCCCUGAGAGGGGGAUC